UUACCUGGUUUGAUCCUGCCAGUAGUCAUAUGCUUGUCUCAAAGAUUAAGCCAUGCAUGUCUAAGUACAGGCCGAAUUAAGGCGAAACCGCGAAUGGCUCAUUAAAUCAGUUAUGGUUCAUUGGAUCUUACCUUGUCCUACUUGGAUAACUGUGGUAAUUCUAGAGCUAAUACAUGCGAGCAAGCCCCGACCGGCGACGGGAAGGGCGCUUUUAUUAGAUCAAAACCAAUCGGGCUCUUCGGGGCCCGUACCCCAGUGGUGACUCUGAAUAACUUUGUGCUGAGCGCAUGGUCCUGGUACCGGCGCCGAAUCCUUCAAGUGUCUGCCUUAUCAGCUUUCGAUUGUAGGUUAUGCGCCUACAAUGGCUAUAACGGGUAACGGGGAAUCAGGGUUCGAUUCCGGAGAGGGAGCCUGAGAAACGGCUACCACAUCUAAGGAAGGCAGCAGGCACGCAAAUUACCCACUCCCGGCACGGGGAGGUAGUGACGAAAAAUAACGAUGCGGGACUCAUCCGAGGCCUCGCAAUCGGAAUGAGUACACUUUAAAUCCUUUAACGAGGAUCUAUUGGAGGGCAAGUCUGGUGCCAGCAGCCGCGGUAAUUCCAGCUCCAAUAGCGUAUAUUAAAGUUGCUGCGGUUAAAAAGCUCGUAGUUGGAUUCGAGUCACGGAGCGAGGGUUCACCGCCCGGUGCUUACUCUCCGCCAUCCGGACGUUGAUGUCGGCGUGGCACGGGGUGCUCUUCACCGAGUGUCCCGGCGCCGCCGACGAGUUUACUUUGAAAAAAUUAGAGUGCUCAGAGCAGGCCGUUCCUGACGCGCCUGAAUAGUUGUGCAUGGAAUAAUGGAAUAGGACCUCGGUUCUAUUUUCCGUUGGUUUUCGGAACCCGAGGUAAUGACUAAUAGGAACAGUCGGGGGCAUUCGUAUUGCGACGUUAGAGGUGAAAUUCUUGGAUCGUCGCAAGACGAACUACUGCGAAGGCAUUUGCCAAGAAUGUUUUCAUUAAUCAAGAACGAAAGUUAGAGGUUCGAAGGCGAUCAGAUACCGCCCUAGUUCUAACCAUAAACGAUGCCAACUAGCGAUCCGCCGGCGUUAUUCCCAUGACUCGGCGGGCAGCUUCCGGGAAACCAAAGUUUUUGGGUUCCGGGGGAAGUAUGGUUGCAAAGCUGAAACUUAAAGGAAUUGACGGAAGGGCACCACCAGGAGUGGAGCCUGCGGCUUAAUUUGACUCAACACGGGGAACCUCACCAGGCCCGGACACCGAAAGGAUUGACAGAUUGAGAGCUCUUUCUCGAUUCGGUGGGGUGGGUGGUGCAUGGCCGUUCUUAGUUGGUGGAGCGAAUUA
Molecule: ribosomal RNA, 1341 nt
Filed under: Clamousella sp. 2 ABI-2012
Lineage: Eukaryota; Metazoa; Arthropoda; Malacostraca; Bathynellacea; Bathynellidae
Description: SSU rRNA
Rfam family: Eukaryotic small subunit ribosomal RNA
Source: RNAcentral